GACGAACGCUGGCGGCGUGCUUAACACAUGCAAGUCGAACGGAAAGGCCCUUCUUUUGUGGGGUGCUCGAGUGGCGAACGGGUGAGUAACACGUGAGUAACCUGCCCUUGACUUUGGGAUAACUUCAGGAAACUGGGGCUAAUACCGGAUAGGAGCUCCUGCUGCAUGGUGGGGGUUGGAAAGUUUCGGCGGUUGGGGAUGGACUCGCGGCUUAUCAGCUUGUUGGUGGGGUAGUGGCUUACCAAGGCUUUGACGGGUAGCCGGCCUGAGAGGGUGACCGGCCACAUUGGGACGGAGAUACGGCCCAGACUCCUACGGGAGGCAGCAGUGGGGAAUAUUGAACAAUGGGCGGAAGCCUGAUGCAGCAACGCCGCGUGCGGGAUGACGGCCUUCGGGUGGUAAACAGCUUUCGCCUGUGACGAAGCGUGAGUGACGGUAAUGGGUAAAGAAGCACCGGCUAACUACGU
Molecule: ribosomal RNA, 467 nt
Filed under: uncultured bacterium
Lineage: Bacteria
Description: partial 16S ribosomal RNA
Rfam family: Bacterial small subunit ribosomal RNA
Source: RNAcentral